This 447-nucleotide ribosomal RNA is filed under the name uncultured bacterium. RNAcentral's name for it is "bacterial SSU rRNA". It matches the Rfam family "Bacterial small subunit ribosomal RNA", at positions 355 to 825 of the family's 1533-position model. The record is from RNAcentral.
UCGGGAAUUUUGGGCAAUGGGCGAAAGCCUGACCCAGCAACGCCGCGUGAAGGAUGAAGUAUUUCGGUAUGUAAACUUCGAAAGAAUAGGAAGAAUAAAUGACGGUACUAUUUAUAAGGUCCGGCUAACUACGUGCCAGCAGCCGCGGUAAUACGUAGGGACCAAGCGUUGUUCGGAUUUACUGGGCGUAAAGGGCGCGUAGGCGGCAAUUCAAGUCAUCUGUGAAAUCUCCGGGCUUAACUCGGAACGGUCAGAUGAUACUGCUUUGCUAGAGUGCAGAAGGGGCAAUCGGAAUUCUUGGUGUAGCGGUGAAAUGCGUAGAGAUCUGGAGGAACACCGAUGGCGAAGGCAGCCCCCUGGGCUAACACUGACGCUCAUGCACGAAAGCGUGGGGAGCAAACAGGAUUAGAUACCCCCGUAGUCCCUGAGCGGGCUGGCAAGGCGCAU